CUGCAAACUGUCCUCCAUUGAUGAACCCUGUUCUUGUCGAUCUCCUCCAUUCUUUUGAGAGGGCUUUUCCGAUUCCUAGCAAUGAUUUUUCUGUGUUGCUUCUCCAAGAUUUCUGAGAUAAUUAGGUAGCAAGGUGGUUUAUUCGCCGAUCUGCAUGUCAGAGAACAUACUCGAUAGGCUUCAUGGGAGGGGCAUAGAUUGUAGCUUACCUGUCUGCUAGACAAGUUUCUCUUUUUUUUCUCCUCUUUCCUUGACGGAAUGCUAGACAGGUUUCUUGUUCUGACAAAUGAUUCAUUCUUAGAAUUUUAACGAAUCACAUCAACCAUUAAUGUUAUUCAAGAUUGGGUGCCAAUUAGAUAAAGAUAUGUUAGCUUAGGUCUUACAGUCUUUUCUGAAGGUGAUUCUGGGCAAUCAGAAAU
RNAcentral lists this long non-coding RNA (419 nucleotides) under Oryza brachyantha (malo sina). Its description in RNAcentral is "long non-coding RNA (OBRA_LNC002794)". The record is from RNAcentral. Lineage: Eukaryota; Viridiplantae; Streptophyta; Magnoliopsida; Poales; Poaceae.